Molecule: ribosomal RNA, 767 nt
Filed under: uncultured archaeon
Lineage: Archaea
Description: bacterial SSU rRNA
Rfam family: Archaeal small subunit ribosomal RNA
Source: RNAcentral
GCCUUGUUACGGCUAUCGAGAUUCGACUAAGCCAUGGCGAAGUUGAAUGUUCCUUCCGUGAACAUGGCGGAMUGCUCAGUAACACGUGGGACAACCUACCCUUGGGUCCGGGCAUAAUCCUGGGAAACUGGGAAUAAUUCCGGAUAGGUCACCGAUGCUGGAAUGCGCGGUGGCCGAAAGCUCCGGCGCCCGAGGAUGGGUCUGCGGCCUAUCAGGGUUGUAGUGGGUGUAACGUACCUACUAGCCUACGACGGGUACGGGUUGUGAGAGCAAGAGCCCGGAGAUGGAUUCUGAGACACGAAUCCAGGCCCUACGGGGCGCAGCAGGCGCGAAACCUUUACAAUGCGGGCAACCGUGAUAAGGAAACCCCGAGUGCCCGUAAGAGCGGGCUGUCCAUCUGUUUAACCAGCAGGUGAAGAAAGGGCCGGGCAAGACCGGUGCCAGCCGCCGCGGUAAYACCGGCGGCCCGAGUGGUAACCGCUAUUAUUGGGUCUAAAGGGUCUGUAGCCGGCCAGGUAAGUCCCUUGGGAAAUCUGGCAGCUCAACUGUCAGGCUGCUAGGGGAUACUGUUUGGCUUGGGACCGGGAGAGGUGAGAGGUACCUUGGGGGUAGGGGUGAAAUCUUGUGAUCCUCGAGGGACCACCAGUGGCGAACGCGUCUCACCAGAACGGGUCCGACGGUAAGGGACGAAAGCUAGGGGCACGAACCGGAUUAGAUACCCCGGGUAGUCCUAGCCGUAAACGAUGCUCGCUAGGUGUCAGUCACGG